RNAcentral lists this ribosomal RNA (254 nucleotides) under uncultured bacterium. Its description in RNAcentral is "partial 16S ribosomal RNA". It matches the Rfam family "Bacterial small subunit ribosomal RNA", at positions 524 to 776 of the family's 1533-position model. The record is from RNAcentral.
UACGUAGGGGGCGAGCGUUGUCCGAAUUUACUGGGCGUAAAGAGCGCGUAGGCGGAUUGUUAAGUGAGAGGUGAAAGGUUCAGGGCUCAACCCGAACAGUGCCUUUCAUACUGGCGAUCUUGAGUAUGGGAGAGGCGAGUGGAAUUUCUGGUGUAGCGGUGAAAUGCGUAGAUAUCAGAAGGAACACCCAUGGCGAAGGCAGCUCGCUGGCCUAUAACUGACGCUGAGGCGCGAAAGCGUGGGGAGCAAACAGG